GCCGGGGUGGCCGAGCGGCCCAAGGCGCGGGACUUGAGAUCCCGUCCCCGCGAGGGGGCGUGGGUUCAAAUCCCACCCCCGGCG
Molecule: transfer RNA, 84 nt
Filed under: Thermoproteus tenax Kra 1
Lineage: Archaea; Thermoproteati; Thermoproteota; Thermoprotei; Thermoproteales; Thermoproteaceae
Also listed under: 5 other names
Description: tRNA-Ser (TGA) (tRNA-Ser-TGA-1-1)
Rfam family: tRNA
About the family: Transfer RNA (tRNA) molecules are approximately 80 nucleotides in length. Their secondary structure includes four short double-helical elements and three loops (D, anti-codon, and T loops).
Source: Rfam by way of RNAcentral